AACCUUGCGCAGUGGCAAUAUCGUAACCAAUGAUGGUCUCCUGAGGUGCGAUUAUUGCUAGUUGAAAACUUUUACCAAUACCCCGCCAUGAAGCCGUGAAACACCGGCUGCAUAGGCAAUUUUUGCAAGCUCCUACGGGAG
This 141-nucleotide small nuclear RNA is filed under the name Rhodnius prolixus. RNAcentral describes it as "U4 spliceosomal RNA". It matches the Rfam family "U4 spliceosomal RNA". From Rfam's summary of the family: U4 small nuclear RNA (U4 snRNA) is a component of the major U2-dependent spliceosome. The record is from Rfam by way of RNAcentral. Lineage: Eukaryota; Metazoa; Arthropoda; Insecta; Hemiptera; Reduviidae.